RNAcentral lists this ribosomal RNA (467 nucleotides) under uncultured bacterium. RNAcentral describes it as "partial 16S ribosomal RNA". It matches the Rfam family "Bacterial small subunit ribosomal RNA", at positions 28 to 507 of the family's 1533-position model. The record is from RNAcentral.
GACGAACGCUGGCGGCGUGCUUAACACAUGCAAGUCGAACGAUUACUACCUAGCUUGCGCUUUCUGAUUAUUGGCGAACGGGUUAGUAACACGGUAGCAACCUCCCCUUCACUCUGGGAUAACCUCGGGAAAUCGGGUCUAAUACCGGAUAUGAGCUCCUGUCGCAUUUCGUGCGUUGGAAAGUAUUGCGGUGAAGGAUUGGCUCGCGGCCUAUCAGUUUGUUGGUGAGGUAGUGUCGCACCAAGGCGAUGACGGGUAGCCGGCCUGAGAGGGCGACCGGCGACCAUGGGACUGAGACACGGAGCAGAAGCGUAUGGGCGGCAGCAGUCGGGAAUAUUGCACAAUGGGCGCAAGUGUGAUGAAGAGACGCCGCGUGCGGGAUGACGGCCUUCGGGUUGUAAACAUCUUUCAGAAGGGAAGAAGCGAAAGUGACGGUACCUGAAGAAGAAGCGCCGGCUAACUACGUG